This 647-nucleotide long non-coding RNA is filed under the name Cicer arietinum (chickpea). Its description in RNAcentral is "long non-coding RNA (CARI_LNC002385)". The record is from RNAcentral. Lineage: Eukaryota; Viridiplantae; Streptophyta; Magnoliopsida; Fabales; Fabaceae.
UUGCUUCUGGUGAAGACUCUGCACUUCCAAACAGGAUGCUCUCAAGUUUAACAAAAGAAUCCUCAUCUGAUCUAUCUUCUUCACCUUCAGGUUUGCUAAGAUCCAUUAUUGGUACAUCUUCUUUUUCUUGGUCUGGUUCAUUUAUCAUAUCAUUGGUGUUAGGAACAAUGAUUUGUCCUCCUUGUAUAUUUGGUUUUUCUUCUUUGUUCUUGGUCUCAUCAAAACUGUCUUGCAAAUCAUAGUUGUUUUCAUUUGACUUGUUAUCAGAAGCAUUUUCUUCAACAACUGACAUUACUGGUAGAUGCAAUCCAACGUCAGAUUCGGUUGGUCUUGCUACAUUUCCUUUUCUUUUGAACUGCACAAUAAGAAAGCAUCGAUCAAGGCAAGAGGAGCUAGUGUCUUCCAGAAACUCAAAAAACCAUAUUAUGCACUUUUAUUUGUUAGGAUUGUUAAUGAUAGCUUGUAUAUAUUUGUAUUCUACUAGUUUUGUUUAAAUGUUGAGAGAUAAGAGACUAGAUUUCUUUUUAUUUUUCUAAUGAUAGGAGGUAACUCUACAACUCUCUUUUUCAUUGGAGGUAACUUCAUUUUUUAUGUGUAAUAUUGAAUAAUGAUGUAAUACAAAACAAGCAUAUAGUAUUAUUUUAUUA